AUACGAACUGUGCAAACGUUAUGCGGAAUCACUGGGCUUAAAGGGUGCGUAGGCGGGUUUGAAGGUCUGAUGUGAAAGCCCACGGCUCAACCGUGGAAUUGCGUUGGAAACCACAAGCCUUGAGGGAGUCAGAGGUGAGCGGAACUAAUGGUGGAGCGGUGAAAUGCGUUGAUAUCAUUAGGAACACCGGUGGCGAAAGCGGCUCACUGGGACUCUUCUGACGCUGAGGCACGAAAGCUAGGGGAGCGAACGGGAUUAGAAACCCUAGUAGUCC
Molecule: ribosomal RNA, 274 nt
Filed under: uncultured bacterium
Lineage: Bacteria
Description: partial 16S ribosomal RNA
Rfam family: Bacterial small subunit ribosomal RNA
Source: RNAcentral